This 72-nucleotide transfer RNA is filed under the name Capra hircus (goat). It matches the Rfam family "tRNA". From Rfam's summary of the family: Transfer RNA (tRNA) molecules are approximately 80 nucleotides in length. Their secondary structure includes four short double-helical elements and three loops (D, anti-codon, and T loops). Further hydrogen bonds mediate the characteristic L-shaped molecular structure. tRNAs have two regions of fundamental functional importance: the anti-codon, which is responsible for specific mRNA codon recognition, and the 3' end, to which the tRNAs corresponding amino acid is attached (by aminoacyl-tRNA synthetases). tRNAs cope with the degeneracy of the genetic code in two manners: having more than one tRNA (with a specific anti-codon) for a particular amino acid; and 'wobble' base-pairing, i.e. permitting non-standard base-pairing at the 3rd anti-codon position. RNAcentral also lists the same sequence under 1 other name. Lineage: Eukaryota; Metazoa; Chordata; Mammalia; Artiodactyla; Bovidae. The record is from Rfam by way of RNAcentral.
UCCCUGGUGGUCUAGUGGUUAAGAAUCUGCCUUGCAUUGCAGGGGACAUGGGUUCAAUUCCUAGUCAGGGAA